This 1148-nucleotide long non-coding RNA is filed under the name Calidris pygmaea (Spoon-billed sandpiper). RNAcentral's name for it is "lncRNA (ENSCPGG00000016810.1)". The record is from RNAcentral. Lineage: Eukaryota; Metazoa; Chordata; Aves; Charadriiformes; Scolopacidae.
UUUAAGGUCCCUUCCAACCCAAACAAUUCUACGAUUCUAUGAUUCAAAGUGUGAAGAGCAAUUUGGUUCACCCUACCGUAAUCAUCUUCGUGUGGUCAGAUGGGUUGCUGCCCACCUCUGGGUUGAUAACGCUCCUGUGGCUGUUGUGAAGGGCAUAGACAUCCAGAAUGCCCAUAGACCAGUUGGGAGACAUUUGAAGUUGGGUGAAUUGGAUCCUAUCCUGUCAUUUUCAGUCUUCUAAACUGAGGACUGUUUUAACUUGCAGCCAAGAGUUGUCGUCAGUCGCUGGGGUGCUUGAGAAAGAGCAGUCCUGAUCACUGUGGCAAGGUGAAAAGCAAGGAGAAGGCUUUCACACAGAGUGUCUCUUUGGGUGAAAUGAAGAAGAAGAGAUGGUGACUGAGCUGUACAAGCAAACCGGGACAACCCAAAAAGUGACUCAAAGCAGGAGCCAGCAGAUGGUCGCGUCGUUAGCCGGUGGCCACAGCCUCGCCAGAGGAGUUUUGGAAUUCCCAUCAAAGUCGGGAUUAAGCUCAGGAUAUGCCAGUGGCACAGAGGGAGCCCUGGGGGAGCGUGGAAGAAGAGGAAAUCAUUCCCUGCGACUCAUCUUGCGGUUGGGUGCUGAUCUCCUGAGAGCGCCGCGCGUGUGCCAAAGGAAGAACACGUUGUUUGAGGGAAAACCUAUUUAUAAACACGUGCAAACUGAAAGGUAAAUCAUUUCUGUAAAUUGAUUGAUGAAAUAUGCUCUCUGCAUUGGUUAUGUGUCCCGAUGUAGUGUAAAUACACCUGACAUCUAUUACGUUUGUCGCUGUGCAGCACCACUAGGUAGGCAGUGGGUAUCUUUUAAAAAUUCCAUUUCUAAUUCUCUGCUUCUUCACCAUAACAAAGAAAGGUUCAAAGGUGGCGUGUUUUUCUCUGAAAAUAUUUUUGGCUUGGGUUUGGAGGUUUUUUUGCAGCGAUAUACGUGAUGGGGAGGAGUAAAGAAUAUUUGCCUUCAGCUAAAAGAGCCUCUGCAGUCUGUUUGUCAGGCGUGGGAAUUCAGUGGGGAUUAAAAACAAUCACACGUGGAGCUGAUUGAAUUUCCUAUCCCUCUUAAUUGCUACCUUUUUUUUUUUUUUUCCUAUGUGAUGAUUUUAAUUUCACUUCCUCCG